UAACAGGUCAAUAUUCCUGUACCGAUGUGUAGUGCGAUGUGGGGACGGAGAAGGUUAACUCGGCCAACUGUUGGAUAUGUUGGUUCAAGCCUGUAGUCGUGCCUAGUAGGUAAAUCCGCCGGGCUUAGAUGAGGGGUGAUAACGAGGCUGCUUGCAGCCGAAGUGAGUAAUACCCUGCUUCCAGGAAAAGCCACUAAGCUUCAGCUACACACGACCGUACCGCAAACCGACACUGGUGCGCGAGAUGAGUAUUCUAAGGCGCUUGAGAGAACUCAGGAGAAGGAACUCGGCAAAUUGACACCGUAACUUCGGAAGAAGGUGUGCCUUAAGUAGGUGAGCUUGUACAAAGUGAGACCAAAGAGGUUGCAAAAAAUAGGUGGCUGCGACUGUUUAUUAAAAACACAGCACUCUGCAAACACGAAAGUGGACGUAUAGGGUGUGACGCCUGCCCGGUGCUGGAAGAUUAAAUGAUGGGGUGCAAGCUCUUGAUUGAAGUCCCAGUAAACGGCGGCCGUAACUAUAACGGUCCUAAGGUAGCGAAAUUCCUUGUCGGGUAAGUUCCGACCUGCACGAAUGGCGUAACGAUGGCCACACUGUCUCCUCCUGAGACUCAGCGAAGUUGAAAUGUUUGUGAUGAUGCAAUCUCCCCGCGGAAAGACGGAAAGACCCCAUGAACCUUUACUGUAGCUUUGUAUUGGACUUUGAACAGAUCUGUGUAGGAUAGGUGGGAGGCUUUGAAGCAGGGUCGCUAGAUCUUGUGGAGCCAACGUUGAAAUACCACCCUGGUGUGUUUGAGGUUCUAACCUAGGUCCAUUAUCUGGAUCGGGGACAGUGCAUGGUAGGCAGUUUGACUGGGGCGGUCUCCUCCCAAAGCGUAACGGAGGAGUUCGAAGGUACGCUAGUUACGGUCGGACAUCGUGACGAUAGUGCAAUGGCAUAAGCGUGCUUAACUGCGAGACUGACAAGUCGAGCAGAUGCGAAAGCAGGACAUAGUGAUCCGGUGGUUCUGUAUGGAAGGGCCAUCGCUCAACGGAUAAAAGGUACUCUGGGGAUAACAGGCUGAUACCGCCCAAGAGUUCAUAUCGACGGCGGUGUUUGGCACCUCGAUGUCGGCUCAUCUCAUCCUGGGGCUGUAGCCGGUCCCAAGGGUAUGGCUGUUCGCCAUUUAAAGAGGUACGUGAGCUGGGUUUAAAACGUCGUGAGACAGUUUGGUCCCUAUCUUCCGUGGGCGCUGCAGAUUUGAGGAAGCCUGCUCCUAGUACGAGAGGACCGGAGUGGACACACCUCUGGUGUAUCGGUUGUCACGCCAGUGGCAUUGCCGAGUAGCUAUGUGUGGAAGAGAUAAACGCUGAAAGCAUCUAAGCGUGAAACUCGUUUCAAGAUGAGAUCUGCCGGGGCCUUGAGCCCCCUGAAGAGUCGUUCAAGACCAGGACGUUGAUAGGUCAGGUGUGGAAGCGCAGUAAUGCGUUAAGCUAACUGAUACUAAUUGCUCGUGUGGCUUGACC
Molecule: ribosomal RNA, 1505 nt
Filed under: metagenome
Description: bacterial LSU rRNA
Rfam family: Bacterial large subunit ribosomal RNA
Source: RNAcentral